Molecule: ribosomal RNA, 253 nt
Filed under: uncultured bacterium
Lineage: Bacteria
Description: partial 16S ribosomal RNA
Rfam family: Bacterial small subunit ribosomal RNA
Source: RNAcentral
UACGAAGGGGGCUAGCGUUGCUCGGAAUCACUGGGCGUAAAGCGCACGUAGGCGGAUUUUUAAGUCAGGGGUGAAAUCCUGGAGCUCAACUCCAGAACUGCCUUUGAUACUGGGAAUCUCGAGUCCGGGAGAGGUGAGUGGAACUCCGAGUGUAGAGGUGAAAUUCGUAGAUAUUCGGAAGAACACCAGUGGCGGAGGCGGCUCACUGGCCCGGUAUUGACGCUGAGGAGCGAAAGCCAGGGGAGCAAACGGG